This is an RNA transcript of Mirounga angustirostris (Northern elephant seal), 972 nucleotides long. RefSeq lists it as uncharacterized. The record is from RefSeq and is a predicted model, not a curated record. Lineage: Eukaryota; Metazoa; Chordata; Mammalia; Carnivora; Phocidae. The transcript is spliced from 5 exons.
CAACCUCUCUAACUAUUGCGUCACGACCUUAAAGUGGAUUAGUUCGCCUUGUGGUCAGUCAUAGUGACCCCUGACAAUGGGAGGCUUCAUUGGCGCCAUAAAAUGUCGAUCACUUUGUCACAGGACGUCGCGUGGUACAAUUGGCCCGCAAUAGUACCAUUCAUCCCGCCCCCUUCUGAGGUGACGGGAAAGGGUUGGGGAAUUUCCACUUCUGAUUAAAAUGACGGCAGAGGUGACGACCCUCAAGGAUUGGUAAGAUUUGGAGUAGAAUUCACCCUGAGUUUAGUGGGGCUUAUCUGUCAAGGAUGCAAGAGGUACGGAGGUUACGAAGCUCCCACCUGUCGCUCUCCGCCAGACGCCGAGACUGCGGCCGGAGAGUUGCUGCACGGGGAUUGGAGGAAAGAAGCAAUCAGUCUCAUCUAGUCUCCACCUUCCUGACAGCCCCUGGUUGGAGGAGCGGAGCGUCAGUCACUAGAGCGGUCGCCACCUCUGGGACAGGAAAAGUCUGAGAAACUGUCACAGUCAAGAGGAGCCUAAGGAGACAUGAUGACAAAAUGUAAUAUAGUAUCCUGGAUGGGAUACUGGAACAGAAAAAGGACAUGAGGUAAAGAAGAUGGUAAUGGGUUCACUUUAUGUGUUUGGUUUCAGACUGCAAUGCGGAGAACUUACAUAUGUACCUUAUAUGCUUCCUCAUUUGUGAAGUACGGAUGCCUUCAGGGUUCAUGGGAGGAUCAAAUGAGACCAAGUGUGGAGAAAACAGCACAGUGCCUGGUGCACAGGCGCCUGGGUGGCUCAGUUGGUUAAGUGACUGCCUUCGGCUCAGGUCAUGAUCCUGGAGUCCCUGGAUCGAGUCCCACAUCAGGCUCCCUGCUCAGCAGGGAGCCUGCUUCUGCCUCUGACCCUCCCCCCUCUCAUGUGCUCUCUCUCAUUCUCUGUCUCAAAUAAAUAAAUAAAAUCUUUAAAAAAAAAAAA